Non-coding RNA from Populus trichocarpa (black cottonwood), 156 nucleotides. The record is from Rfam. NCBI's taxonomy places the organism in Eukaryota, Viridiplantae, Streptophyta, Magnoliopsida, Malpighiales, Salicaceae.
UCUAGAACUCGAUAUAUAAGUUGAACACCGAACAAUAUUUUGGUUGCAGGACAGAUUCAGACUUCUCUUUGGUUGCUAAUAUUUAAACUUUAAAAAGACAGUAUUGAAUCUUGAACUCUGCAUGAAUGUUUUAGACUUUUAUAUUAGCUUUCCAUC